This 484-nucleotide ribosomal RNA is filed under the name Kevanacla orientalis. RNAcentral describes it as "partial 16S ribosomal RNA". It matches the Rfam family "Bacterial large subunit ribosomal RNA", at positions 1832 to 2582 of the family's 2925-position model. The record is from RNAcentral. Lineage: Eukaryota; Metazoa; Arthropoda; Insecta; Orthoptera; Phalangopsidae.
CUUCAUGUGUUGUUUUGAAGUCGUGCCUGCCCACUGAUUAUUUAAAGGGCCGCGGUAUCUUGACCGUGCAAAGGUAGCAUAAUCAUUAGUUUCUUAAUUGGGGACUGGUAUGAAUGGUAUGACGAGGUGAUUACUGUCUCUUUAAUAUUUAAUGAAUUUCACUUUUAAGUUAAAAGGCUUAAAUGAUGAUGGGGGACGAGAAGACCCUAUAGAUCUUUAUUAUCUGUUUGAAUAUGUAGUUUAGUAAGGGUGAAUUGUUUAAUUAUGGUGGUUGCAUUGGGGUGAUGGGAGAAUUAUAAACUUCUUUUAGUUAUUAAUUUUGAUUAGAAGGUUUUUGAUCCUUUAAUAUGGAUUUAAGAUUAAGAUACCUUAGGGAUAACAGCGUUAUUUUAUUUGAGAGUUCUUAUUGACAAUAAAGAUUGCGACCUCGAUGUUGGAUUAGGAUUUACAUUUUGGGGAAGUUUCUGGAUGUGUUGGUCUGUUC